GAUGAACGCUGGCGGCGUGCUUAACACAUGCAAGUCGAACGGAAAGGCCCAAGCUUGCUUGGGUACUCGAGUGGCGAACGGGUGAGUAACACGUGGGUGAUCUGCCCUGCACUUCGGGAUAAGCCUGGGAAACUGGGUCUAAUACCGGAUAGGACGAUGGUUUGGAUGCCAUUGUGGAAAGUUUUUUCGGUGUGGGAUGAGCUCGCGGCCUAUCAGCUUGUUGGUGGGGUAAUGGCCUACCAAGGCGUCGACGGGUAGCCGGCCUGAGAGGGUGUACGGCCACAUUGGGACUGAGAGACGGCCCAGACUCCUACGGGGGGCAGCAGUGGGGAAUAUUGCACAAUGGGCGCAAGCCUGAGGCAGCGACGCCGCGUGGGGGAUGACGGCCUUCGGGUUGUAAACUCCUUUCGCUAGGGACGAAGCGUUUUUGUGACGGUACCUGGAGAAGAAGCACCGGCUAACUACGUG
Molecule: ribosomal RNA, 468 nt
Filed under: uncultured bacterium
Lineage: Bacteria
Description: partial 16S ribosomal RNA
Rfam family: Bacterial small subunit ribosomal RNA
Source: RNAcentral